Molecule: non-coding RNA, 257 nt
Organism: Labrus bergylta (ballan wrasse)
Lineage: Eukaryota; Metazoa; Chordata; Actinopteri; Labriformes; Labridae
Source: RefSeq, a predicted model, not a curated record
CUGAAGUUAGAGAUGGUGAAGAUCUGUCCUGAAGCUGUUGCAGGACUCACAGACGCUGAACAAACUGAUGGAGCAUCUUGAGGAGAGAAGAAUAGAAAUAUAACUGAAGUGACCAAAGAAGAAUGAAGUGGAAUAAAGUGCUGAGGGUGCAGAUUGAAACCAGCUGACAACCCCUCCCUCGAUGCUCCCCUCUUCACCUGCAGAGUUUACAACAAUCAUUAAAGCUCAGCGUACUCUGUACGAUUGUUUGAAAUUCA